This 215-nucleotide long non-coding RNA is filed under the name Elaeis guineensis (African oil palm). Its description in RNAcentral is "long non-coding RNA (EGUI_LNC058463)". Lineage: Eukaryota; Viridiplantae; Streptophyta; Magnoliopsida; Arecales; Arecaceae. The record is from RNAcentral.
AGAACCGAAGUCUUAUCAUAAAUCCAAGCACAUUUUAAGAUGGUUCCAUCUCAUUCGGAAGAUAGUCGAAAGACGCGAUGUGAUCGUAAAGCGAGUUGAUACCAUGAAUAAUAUAGUGGAUCUGUUCACUAAGGCCUUGUUAGUGCAGCAGUUUGACCGCCAUCUUGAUUGCAUGGGCAUCAAGUAUAGGGGUGAUUGGCUUUAGUGCAAGUGGG